Caenorhabditis elegans is the source of this 21-nucleotide non-coding RNA. The record is from Ensembl. Lineage: Eukaryota; Metazoa; Nematoda; Chromadorea; Rhabditida; Rhabditidae.
UCCAAUGGGUCGUUGUGAACA